RNAcentral lists this long non-coding RNA (357 nucleotides) under Nicotiana benthamiana. RNAcentral describes it as "long non-coding RNA (NBEN_LNC020975)". The record is from RNAcentral. Lineage: Eukaryota; Viridiplantae; Streptophyta; Magnoliopsida; Solanales; Solanaceae.
GAGAAGGCCAACAAAUGCAUCAGGCUCAGAGAUCUCUUAUAGAGACUCAUGAGACACAAACACAUACAAUGGAAGGUUUUGCAACAAAGUGAAAAGGCUGAUUUAAAGCACAAAGAACAUGUUUUAAGAAACACUCGGAACUUAAGCAAGUUCAGAAGAGAAAGGGGUGGUAUAAAAUUAAGAAAUAGUAGAUGAAACAUGUUUAAAAGGAACUCGAAAAAAGUCCAAUAAAGCAAACAAAACUUAAGAACUCAGCAGGAAACACAUACAGUAGAAGAAUACUGAAAAGUAUAGCAAAGAACAUAUAGGAAAAUAUAACAAAGAUUGACAUGCGAGCCUAGUCUAAAGGCACGACAG